This is a long non-coding RNA of Epinephelus fuscoguttatus (brown-marbled grouper), 3643 nucleotides long. RefSeq lists it as uncharacterized. The transcript has 4 exons. Lineage: Eukaryota; Metazoa; Chordata; Actinopteri; Perciformes; Serranidae. The record is from RefSeq and is a predicted model, not a curated record.
AAUCAUGUGACCAUUUGUCAUGUGACACCAAAGAAGAAAAGGUUAAAGUUCUAACGCGAACCAAAACGCUUCGUAUUCAUGAUGACAGGGUAGUCCUGCUGAUAUUGUGCAGUCUGCCUGGCACCUGCUAAGCUUGAUUACAUCAUCUGGGACACAACUGGGCACAUCCAGUGAUGGCACAAAUCAAAACACAAAGUUCAGAAUUAAACUUGAAUUCAUGUACAUAUUUUAUUAACUUAUCAAUUCUAGAUUUAUUGAUGAUUAAUACAUUUUUUUGAAAACAUUCCUGCAGAGAACAGAGACAUGGAGGUCCCAGUGGCAGCGCAGCCCAGCCCUCACUCCAAAUGGAAAUGACCAGGGGUAUGCAGAUGACGUGCAGGUGUCUUCACGCCAGGAGGAUGUCAUUAUAAACAUGCUGACACGCACUGAGGAAUUCCUCCACUGGUCUGGGCUGGAUGUGAAACAGAGCAAAUGUGCUGUUUUCCACAACGCUGCAGUGGUGGUAACUGCUGGUAUAAGGCCAAGAAUGACAAGCCCCCCUCCUUUCUGAUAAUGGGUAAAACCAUCAGAGUUUACGCCCGUAAUGAGACCUACCCAUACUUAGGCCAUAAAUUUAACAUCGCUGGAGAGUGGGGGAGCAGGUUGAGGAGCUCACAAAGGAGUAUCUCCAUCGCCUCCACUUGGUAGACCUGUCACCCCUCCCAACAGUCAUUAAACUUGAGGCUGUGAGAGAUGUGGCCCUGGCCAAAAUACAACAUCUAUUUGCUAAUGUCCACAUCCCGCAAAAAAUCCUAAGAGAGAUGACAAAUAAAACCAUCCAGCUGGUCCGAAAGUGGGUGGGUUUAAAUACACAUUCUACUCGAGAUAUAGUUUUUCUUCCCUGUAGCAAAGGAGGGCUGGGAGUUCCCAAUGUAGAACGGACAUGCACAGCCACUAGGUUAACUAACUUACUUCACAUGUUAAAUAAUGAUGAUGCAACUGUCAGAGAAAUGGCCAGGGCUUCUUUUUUGUUGGAUUUUUGCAGGAGGAAAGUCCCCCUGGCCACUGCAACCCAGAACAACUUCCUGGGCUUCAGGAGAAAAGGUUGCAUUGAAAUCAGAACCUAACAGAGAAGUGUUAGGAUUUAGGCAUUUAGGGAGAGAAUAUUUUGAACAAAAGGCUGAGGCUGUGUGAGGUUUGAAAAUAAAGGUCCACCACGUUAGUUAACUAACGUGAUGCAAUGUUAACGUUGUCAUAUGAGCAGUGUAACGUUAACGUAACAUUAAGGCUAUACUUGUGUAUGUAAAUUAAAAAGUGGCGAACUGUGUGAAAUUACAAUAAGGUGUGUAACGUAUAAAAAAAAAAUAAUGUGACAUUUGACUGCCACAUAUAAAAUAUUAAUAAGAUUAGUGUAUGAUACAGGCCUGUAGUUAUACAACAAUAGAUAAUGCACAGACAGAAUAUGAGGACUGUGAUGGCCACCACCUUUUUGUUUUGCUAAAAUAAAUUUAUUAUGAUCUGUUGAACAUUGAAGAAAUUUAAGUUGUAUUGUUUGCAUGUAAAGGUGUCUGUGAAGUAGGUAACCUAACACAUAUAUUACUUUUAAUAUCUAUUUGUCUGUGUAAAGUUUUCCUCUAGGUGACCCAGACAGACUGGACCAGUGGACACUCAACACGAGGAGACAGAACUGGACUCCAAACAAGACUUCCCAUCUGUGCAGUGAACACUUUGAGAGUCAUCACUUCAGCACUGACUCCAGGAUAAAGACACCUUUUUUUAUACAGUACCUCACAAAGAGUCAAGAAACUUAUUAGUUUGAAAUGAUGAAUUAUUGUCCAUAAUACAUUUAAAUGCAUUACAUAAAUUACUAAUUGCCAUACAUUACUAAGUACUCGAUUAGGGCACAGCUUGCUCUGUAUUAUUACUGAUAAGGUGAAAUUACUGCACACCAGUGCAGUUUAGUGUUCCCCUGGUGCAAAAGGCCAAAUGAAGAUUUUAUUAAUCAAGGAACAUGACAUGUAUUUACCGACUUUAACAUUUUAGUGCCUUUUAUGCAAAGACCCUUUAUCAAAGUGAGAAUUACUACCUUUUUCCCCACACACAGUCUGUGAAGAACCAAUGGAAUAAAAUAUUCUCAUAAUGAGACAGCCGAACAUAGCAUGAUUCCACAGUGGUAGUGAGCUUUGAUAACAGUUCAGUUUCCUUUUGAUAGCAACAAUUAUUUUAAUGUGGAUGAACGGCAUACUAGGGCGGCACGGUGGUGUGGUGGUUAGCACUCUCGCCUCACAGCAAGAGGGUUGCCAGUUCGAUCCUGGGCGUGGGAGCCCUUCUGUGUGGAGUUUGCAUGUUCUCCCCGUGUCAACGUGGGUUCUCUCCGGGCACUCCGGCUUCCUCCCACAGUCCAAAGACAUGCAGAUUGGGGACUAGGUUAAUUGGUAACUCUAAAUUGUCCUCUAAAGGACACUAAAGGUAACUCUAAAGGUGUGAAUGUGAGUGUGAAUGGUUGUUUGUCUCUAUGUGUCAGCCCUGCGAUAGUCUGGCGACCUGUCCAGGGUGUACCCUGCCUCUCACCCGAUGUAGCUGGGAUAGGCUCCAGCCCCCCCGCGACCCUCAAGAGGAUGAAGCGGUUAGAAGAUGAAUGAAUGAAUGUACAUUCAUACUCCAUUUGUCUUGGUAGUACACUGAUAAAUUUAAAAUCACAUUCAAAUAUAAAGUCAAAUAUCUACAGAACUUAAACACAAAACUAUUUUAUGACAGCCAGAUCAUUUUGGUGGUGAGUAGACUUUUAACCAAGACAGGCUGUAGUCAGUGUUUUCUACCUGUGUUUUUAACCUGUCAUCUUUCUCUCAUGUAGGACACUUGUGGAAAGUUACAACGCCUCGGCCAAUGUGAUAUUUACUCCACAGUCAAGAGGUUGUUUCACAAGAAAUUAAGAUUUUGCAAAUUAUGACACUGGGUCCUAAUCCAUAGGUUUUAUAAUUACUGUUAUAAAUCUUUUCAUUUAUUUCACGUGUACUUUUUGUAACCUUUUAAUAUGGAUGUUUUCAUGAAUGCAAGCUUUGACUUAAUUUUGUUAAACUGUUUGUGUAAUGGAAUAACUUUUGCCAUAUAAAAUGGAUCAGACAAAAUUUACUUUAGAGUAAAAGCAAAUUUUUUGAAAGCUGUCAUUCAUCAGUUUCCUGUGAUGAUUGGAAAUAUAGUGGUGAUUUAAACCAUUAACAAAAUAUAAUAGUUAUUAAUGGUAUCUUAAUGUUUCCAUUUAUGUCUUAACAUUUACCCAAGUUUGCAUUUAUCUUAGCAGAAUGUAAAAAAAAAAUGAAAAGCUGAUGUUAUGUGCUGGUUUUGUUUGAACAUUUCACAAAUGAAGAAAAUUCACUGAGAAACGAUUCUGCUUUUGUGAAAAACAAGGAAAUAUCUGCACACUGAAUAGUUUUAAGUCCCGUAGGAGGUAUCAUUUAUUUGUGAGGUUGUGACAUAUGAGAAGGUUCUGUGGGUAUUGCUCGGUAUUGAGGCUUAUAUAGUGAGGCUAAAAAAAUGUAACACACAAUUGGCUGAUUAUGUUUCUGUUUGCCUCACUAUAAAAACGUCACAGUACCUUUGCCUGAGGAAGACCCUUUCAGAGUUGGCAACAUAGCGAACAAGUGAUACCUCCUUGGGGGCUUCA